This 429-nucleotide ribosomal RNA is filed under the name uncultured bacterium. RNAcentral's name for it is "bacterial SSU rRNA". It matches the Rfam family "Bacterial small subunit ribosomal RNA", at positions 532 to 955 of the family's 1533-position model. The record is from RNAcentral.
UCUCAAGCGUUGUUCGGAAUCACGUGGGACGGUAAAGGGUGCGUAGGCUGCACGGUAAGUCAGAUGUGAAAGCCCCGGAGCUCAACUUCGGAAUUGCAUCCGAUACUGCCGUGCUUGAGGACUGGAGAGGAGAUUGGAAUUCACAGUGGAGCAGUGAAAAUGCGUAGAUAUUGUGAGGAACACUAGUGGCGAAGGCGAAUCUCUGGACAGUUCCUGACGCUGAGGCACGAGGCCAGGGGAGCAAACGGGAUUAGAUACCCCGGUAGUCCUGGCAGUAAACGGUGCACGCUUGGUGUGGCAGGAAUCGACCCCUGCCGUGCCGGAGCUAACGCGUUAAGCGUGCCGCCUGGGAAGUACGGUCGCAAGAUUAAAACUCAAAGAAAUUGACGGGGACCCGCACAAGCGGUGGAGUAUGUGGCUUAAUUCGAU